RNAcentral lists this ribosomal RNA (465 nucleotides) under uncultured bacterium. RNAcentral describes it as "partial 16S ribosomal RNA". It matches the Rfam family "Bacterial small subunit ribosomal RNA", at positions 28 to 507 of the family's 1533-position model. The record is from RNAcentral.
GAUGAACGCUGGCGGCGUGCUUAACACAUGCAAGUCGAACGGAAAGGCUCCUGCUUGCAGGGGUACUCGAGUGGCGAACGGGUGAGUAACACGUGGGUGAUCUGCCCUGCACUUUGGGAUAAGCCUGGGAAACUGGGUCUAAUACCGGAUAGGACGAUGGUUUGGAUGCCAUUGUGGAAAGUUUUUCGGUGUGGGAUGAGCUCGCGGCCUAUCAGCUUGUUGGUGGGGUAAUGGCCUACCAAGGCGUCGACGGGUAGCCGGCCUGAGAGGGUGUACGGCCACAUUGGGACUGAGAUACGGCCCAGACUCCUACGGGAGGCAGCAGUGGGGAAUAUUGCACAAUGGGCGCAAGCCUGAUGCAGCGACGCCGCGUGGGGGAUGACGGCCUUCGGGUUGUAAACUCCUUUCGCUAGGGACGAAGCGCAAGUGACGGUACCUGGAGAAGAAGCACCGGCUAACUACGUG